AUGGGCUGCGGCCGCGGGAGCCGAGCGAGCGCCGCAGCCCCGCCGUCCGUGCGUCCGUCCGUCCGUCCGUGCUGCAGCGCCCGCGGGGGCUGGGCCGGGCUCGGCGGCCCGGAGGAGGAGCGCGGGAGGCGGGAGGGCGGCGCGGGCUGCGCGGCCGGGCUCGGGAUCCGGGCUCCUGGGGUGCGCGCGCCGCCGGGGCCGGUCUGCGCCUGCCUGCUGCCUGUGCACCUGCCUGCCACGGUCACGGGGCGCCCGCGGAGGCCUGCGGACCCGGCUGGCCUCCCGACUGCCCUUCCGUCCCGGGUCCCGCUCAUCCGUGUGACCCCGGAGGCCUCGCGGGGGUCUCCGGGAGUGGGGCGCGUGGAGCCCGGGAGCCCUGGGUCUGCAGCCCCUGCCCGCGCCCCCUGCAGCCUGCUACGGUUCCCACCAGGCCGUGCUAAAGCCGCGAGAAACCUCGAGAAACCUGCAAACACACACGUUCACACCCAUGCACACCUCCUUCCGCAGAAACCGAGUCACUGCCACAAAGAUAUUCAAAGGUCAACUCUCACCAUUUAAACUCAGUUACAACACUGGGUAAAACAAACCCACACCCAAGUGUUGACAUCAGCAGCUUGCGUUUACCCCAGAAUGGCCCAUACCACCCCAGCGAGCUGACCUUCCCCCUAUGGUGCAUUUGACAGUCUGUCUGUCUGUCUGUCUGUCUGUCUCUCUCUGCUGAGAACAGAACACAGGACCAUCACUGCCCAUCUCUGCCACCUCACUUUCCAUAGGAUGUCAGCAGUGACUCCUCAGCUGGACCCCCGUGCCUGUGGUCAGUUCUUCAGCAUCUCUCCCUUCCCUUCCCAGGCACUCGUGACCACUAUUCUAUCCUCCACACACACCAGAUGCCCUGAAGUAAACAGGCCUCCUCCUCCUCACCCCUGUAUCCCCUCCGUGAUGAUGGAGGCCCAGAGCAUCAAGACCAAGCAGUCAUGGUCUGAAACCACAAGCCAGAUAAAGUCUUUGUCCUUGUAUGCAUCUUUAUCUCAGGUAUUUUUCACAGUGACACAAGGUCGAAUGUUUCCUGCCUUAUAUUUUCCUUACGCACCUAUGAUGAAGACCUAACAAGGUAUCCGUCAGAUCCCCAUCCUCUUUCAAACUAACCAAAUUGCAUUUUGACUGACAUAUUCUUGGGAAUCUGUAGCAUGCAUUUCAAGAUUUUUCAAAUUUUACCUUGCAUAUACAUUUUCAUCUCUAUUUCUAGGUCUCUAAGCAUAUUUCAGUAAGCAGGUAUUGUCCGUGCAGAAAAAGAAAUGGAAUAUGCUGAUGUAAUAAAUGGCACACAAAGUCACGGGCUUUGAGUUCUUCACUUUCCAACUAGACAUGUAUUUUUUUAAAGGGGCUAAGAGAUGUUAAAAUAGUCUCACAGUUUUGGGGGAAAGUUAUUCUGAUUUUAAACAUAAGGACACAUUUUCUAGGCCACUUUCCUUUGUGCAUGUGUUUGAUCUGUCUACAAAGGGAGCUGUGCCAUCCUCCCCAGAUGCUGAAUGAGGCCAGGACAGGGAAAAUACGCCUGCAAGACUCUGCAGAGGAAAGGGGAUGGUUUUACAGUGGUCACUGUAAAGAUUUGAUUUUAGGUCGCCUCCUAUUGGCAGAAUCACCAAAUGAACACAUUGGCGACUGCUCUGGGACCUGACAGGUCCACUAGAAAGAACUCACUGAAAACCAAAAUCUGUCUCCACCACCUGGACACACAACUACCACCGGCAGUCAUGAUCCUUUCUUUCGGAAAAUGCAGUGUUUGGCCUUUUCAGUGACCGAUGCGUCUGGCCUUCCUGGAAAACCACCCAGCACAGACCACUGGGCGGUCGUCUGUCACCUGACGCUGAGGUGGAGAUGACACAGUGACCAGACGGCUGCUGGGCAGAGGGCGUCACAGAGACUCGCAGGGAGCACUCAACACACGUCCUGCGGGCUGUGUGCGUGAAACCCUCGCCGGACAGCUGGACAGUUUUGAUUCUGCCUUUUCAUAGUUCUGUGGCCCCUAUGGAGAUCAUUUCUACCACAGCUUAUGCAUUUUCAAGGAUCUUUCCCGUUCUUUCCCCUACACCAUAGAAAGAACAUUUUUGCCCGACACUCGGAGGCAUUCCUAAAACACAGCUAGCCAAUUUACCUUUAGGGAAAAGUAGAUUAGCAGAACAAAGACUUUCCACCUUAACACACUCAAGGACUUUCUCUAAAUCAGUGCAGUAUGGUCAACCUACAAGCCCAGCAAUGGAGCAUUAUUGUGAGAGGCUCAGUCUCCUUCAAGGUGCUGCUCUGAGCUUGGAAACUGAGUCUAAAGGUUUAAUCCUCCUCCCCAUUCGAACAAGGAUGUCAAUUAUCCUACCCUGGAGGGAAUCUAAAGGUUUAAAAACAAGGAUAUAAGAGAGAUUAUUGAAAAAGCAAUUUAUGUGAACCAAAGUGAAUAAAAGUGGUAGUUAAGGACCGCAAGAAGCAGAGGAUUUGGUCCUGAGGUGGCUGGGUAGGAAGCAAGCAGCUUCUAAAUAUCAUACAGCAAGACAGCAACACCCAAAGAACAGGCUCCCGGACCAGGAGAGCAUGCACAGGAAUUUAAAACACUGUUGCCCUGUGAGUAGGAACAGCAAAAGGCACAAUUACUACAAAAUAUAAGUUAUAAAUAGUUAGUGAGCCACUGUGCUUGUCACCAGCCCUGCUUACUGGGAAAACAAAGGAAUGCACUGUACUGGAGAAGACUUUCACUGUUCCCAGAUCAGACAUCAUUGUGCACAACUAACGAAGCCUAUCGCGGCUUCUUAGAGGCAAACCCACCCAGCGCGUAUUCUAGCUGUAACCCAGAUCCUGUUCUGGGCUGCCUUGUUUCACAGGUAACAUUCCUACAAAUGUUCAGUCUGCUUUGACUAAGAUCUUCAUGCUACCUCAAAUUCUCCUCCACUUCCCAAUCAAUUCCUUUUGCUCUUACCAACAUCCCAAUGGGAUCAGCCUCAAGACGGUGGAAUUGCUUUGUGUUAAGGAACAGGGUGAGAAGGAGAAAUUAACAAUGGGCACUUGGCCUUCUGCUGGGAACUACCAGGUGCUGAGUGCGCAUAAAAGGUGUCCAAAGCAUGUGGGAUGGGGUAGACAGGGAGAGGCUUAGGGAGAAAAGUAAUAAACAUGAAAGAGCAGGCGCUUAAAAUGGGAAUAGUGAGCAGCACAUAAGCUUGCAACAGGCAGCAUCACCUCUUGAAACACAGCACAAGUGGAAGAGACGAACCUGGACCGCUUCACAAACUGGGACCCUCCGGGGGAAAGUGUGCUUCAAAUGAAAUGGUGAUAUCGGCCCAAAAGGUGGAACUCAUGAGUAAAUCUGAAAAAGGUAUCCAGAAGUACGACAUACAGACCAAGGAGAUGGAAACAAUUAGUCACGGCAGGGAUAAAGUCCUGAUGGCUGAGACAAGGGUGGCCACCUACAGCUGGAUCUCGGAACACGUCCUCUGGCACACCGAGUUCCAGGACGACGAGUGAAACACAGUAUGCUACCAGCAUGGCUGGAAGACCGGUUACAAACUUCAAGUCACCUUGUAGUGGAAAAGGCCACCCUCCCAGCCUCCCCCCAGCCAGUCCACUUCAGUUGCCCAGGUGACAGUUCCUGUUCCAGGGCCGGUUGUUUCUGUUGCUUAGAAACAGCUGGUCACUGUGACGCAUAGCUGGUCACUAUGGUGCAUACUGUAAGAGCCAAUCAAAGACAGCCAAGUGCUCUUCCUCAGUACCCUCAUCCCUUUGCAAACCCAUAAAAAUCUCCCUUCCUGGGCCUUCAAGGCCUGACAUUCUGAGAAACAACUGAUUCCUAGUCAGUGCCUAUCCGAUGUUAAAUAAAUCUGCCUCCAAA
Cavia porcellus (domestic guinea pig) is the source of this 3871-nucleotide RNA transcript. It is a transcript of the gene named cuticle collagen 2-like, with no coding region annotated. NCBI's taxonomy places the organism in Eukaryota, Metazoa, Chordata, Mammalia, Rodentia, Caviidae. The record is from RefSeq and is a predicted model, not a curated record. The transcript is spliced from 5 exons.